Molecule: ribosomal RNA, 440 nt
Filed under: uncultured bacterium
Lineage: Bacteria
Description: partial 16S ribosomal RNA
Rfam family: Bacterial small subunit ribosomal RNA
Source: RNAcentral
CCUACGGGCGGCAGCAGUGGGGAAUAUUGCACAAUGGGGGAAACCCUGAUGCAGCGACGCCGCGUGAGUGAAGAAGUAAUUCGGUAUGUAAAGCUCUAUCAGCAGGGAAGAAAAUGACGGUACCUGAGUAAGAAGCCCCGGCUAACUACGUGCCAGCAGCCGCGGUAAUACGUAGGGGGCAAGCGUUAUCCGGAUUUACUGGGUGUAAAGGGAGCGUAGACGGCACUGCAAGUCUGAUGUGAAAGGCGGGGGCCCAACCCCGGGACUGCAUUGGAAACUGUUCGACUGGAGUGCAGGAGAGGUAAGCGGAAGUGCUAGUGGAGCGGUGGAGUGCGUAGAUAUUAGGAGGAAGACCAGUGGGGAAGGCGGCUUACUGGACUGUAAGUGACGUUGAGGGUCGAAAGCGUGGGGAGCAAACAGGAUGAGAUACCCGGGUAGUC